GGGCGGUUAGCUCAGCGGUAGAGCUUUCGCUUUACACGCGACGGGUCGGGGGUUCGAAUCCCUCACCGCCCACCA
Molecule: transfer RNA, 75 nt
Filed under: Deinococcus sonorensis
Lineage: Bacteria; Thermotogati; Deinococcota; Deinococci; Deinococcales; Deinococcaceae
Also listed under: 17 other names
Description: tRNA-Val
Rfam family: tRNA
About the family: Transfer RNA (tRNA) molecules are approximately 80 nucleotides in length.
Source: RNAcentral